GUUCAUCUCAUGUCUAAAAAAUCCCCAAGAGUCUCUCUUUCUACUAGUAGAUGUUCAAAGUCUUUAGAUUUUCAAAUAAUUCUUUCUCCAGAAGUAUGUACUGAUUGUAAUUCAAGCCUAAUUCAAGAAGAUUAUACGUGUAUUUUUCCCUGUUCUUCACUUUCCACGUGGUAGUCUCUUCUUUCUUCCGCUUUCUUCUUCGCUGAAACUCCGUCGCUUUUUCAUUUUGUUGCUCGUUCUUUUCUUCCCCAGGUAAUUUCUCUCCGUUGGGUUUCUAUAUUUUCUUUAUGCUAUUUUGUUUUUUUUACGUUAGCGUCUCUGUUUGAUGCACCUGUUUCUUAUGGUUGUUCCGGCCAAGCGGGCAUCUGCAGCUGCUUCGUCCUCCUCUGCUCCUCGGUCUCGCAGGUCUCGACAUCUCGCAUUCUUUUCCGGCCUUCCUCAAUAUGUCGAUUCUGGUGACUGUACUUGUGUUUGCGAGUUCUGUCGCACAUAUUUCUGGUAUGUUGAAAGGGUGUUCUAAGGUCGGCAUAUGACGAUGUGAUUAGAAACACUUGGACAUCACUUCAGUACAGACCUAUGUAAUCAACAGUGUGAAGGUAGUCUUCUUGAACGAAAAGCCGCAGUCUUCUCGAUUCCUUCCGUAUCUGCUCACUUGGGUGUAAGCAUCCGUGAAAGGUUUUAGGUCAGAUGGCUGCUGAAUUACAAUUGAAGAAGACAAGAAUCGACCAAUUGACGAGAGAUAUGCUUACAAUGGAACAAAGAUACGAGACAGUUUACUUGUGGGUGCGAGGUAAUAAAAUAAGUUGAAAAAAAAGGGUAUCUUCGUAUUGGGAGUUUGCAGGAUGCAACAGUGAGCGAGAGAAGGGUUGAACGACGAGGAAGAUAAAUUUGUGAAGUCGGGUGGUUCUGAUUUGAAGUUCACAAAGCUUGCGCUUGGAGCUUUCUCAUGAGCCCAUACCAGUUAUUGGAACAAUUUCAAUUUUCAAAUAGGAUGAUAGGAUGAUGAAAGCUUGUAAGAACGCAUUUGAUGCAAGUGUAGAUAAUGCUAUAACUUGGUUUGAUCCUGCUGAGUUUUAUGGCUCGAGGUUCUUAUUUGGUACAAAAAAAAUCUGAAGCACUACUAGGAAGGUAGUAGGAUUUCCUGCAACAUUUUAAGUCAGAGUUUAAUAUUUAUGAGGAUGUUAUGCUUCAAAAGAUCAAAGGUUUAUUAAGGUUGAGCUUUUGAAAGAAUACGACAACGUAUGCACACCCCGAGCUCUUUACCAAGAAGUGGGGAACGUUCGCCAGCAGAUUCGGGUGAUGACGAAGAUGGUGAGUCGACUGUUCCAACUAUUCAAAGCCCUGAUUAAAAGGGUUCAUGGAAACUCAUAUUAAGGGUAUAUUGUGUUAGGAGGUGUGGAUUUAGAGGAGAGAUGGUAAAUAUCAACCUUCAGGUCUUUAGUCAAAUAUCUAAAGUACCAUUUGCAUUGUAUUUUUACAAAUUACUUAUUUAUUUGUGGAUGUUAAUAUUUUUAAACUUUAAUCCAUGUAUAUAAUCAUAUUUUAUAUUGUUAACAUACAACAAUGGAAAUUAACUUUUCAUUGAA
Lactuca sativa (garden lettuce) is the source of this 1586-nucleotide non-coding RNA. Lineage: Eukaryota; Viridiplantae; Streptophyta; Magnoliopsida; Asterales; Asteraceae. The record is from RefSeq and is a predicted model, not a curated record.